UACGGAGGGUGCAAGCGGUAUUCGGAAUUACUGGGCGUAAAGCGCACGGAGGCGGCCUUGUAAGUCAGGGGUGAAAUCCCACGGCUCAACCGUGGAACUGCCUUUGAAACUGCAGGGCUUGAAUCCUGGAGAGGGUGGCGGAAUUCCUGGUGUAGGAGUGAAAUCCGUAGAUAUCAGGAGGAACACCGGUGGCGAAGGCGGCCACCUGGACAGGUAGUGACGAUGAGGUGCGUAAGUGUGGGGAGCAAACAGG
RNAcentral lists this ribosomal RNA (253 nucleotides) under uncultured bacterium. Its description in RNAcentral is "partial 16S ribosomal RNA". It matches the Rfam family "Bacterial small subunit ribosomal RNA", at positions 524 to 776 of the family's 1533-position model. The record is from RNAcentral.